GAUGAACGCUGGCGGCGUGCCUAACACAUGCAAGUCGAACGGAGAUUACGGACGGAAGUUUUCGGAUGGAAGACUGUAAUUCUUAGUGGCGGACGGGUGAGUAACGCGUGGGCAACCUGCCCUAUACAGGGGGAUAGCAGCUGGAAACGGCUGGUAAGACCGCAUAAGUCGGCGAGACCGCAUGGUUUUGCCGGGAAAUGAGCAAUCAGGUAUAGGAUGGGCCCGCGUCCGAUUAGCCAGUUGGCAGGGUAAAAGCCUACCAAAGCAACGAUCAGUAGCCGACCUGAGAGGGUGAUCGGCCACAUUGGAACUGAGACACGGUCCAAACUCCUACGGGAGGCAGCAGUGGGGAAUAUUGCACAAUGGGCGAAAGCCUGAUGCAGCAACGCCGCGUGAACGAUGAAGGUCUUCGGAUCGUAAAGUUCUGUUGCAGGGGAAGAUGAUGACGGUACCCUGUGAGGAAGCCCCGGCUAACUACGUGCCAGCAGCCGCGGUAAUACGUAGGGGGCUAGCGUUAUCCGGAUUUACUGGGCGUAAAGGGUGCGUAGGUGGUCCUUCAAGUCGGUGGUUAAAGGCUACGGCUCAACCGUAGUAAGCCGCCGAAACUGGAGGACUUGAGUGCAGGAGAGGAAAGUGGAAUUCCCAGUGUAGCGGUGAAAUGCGUAGAUAUUGGGAGGAACACCAGUAGCGAAGGCGGCUUUCUGGACUGCAACUGACACUGAGGCACGAAAGCGUGGGUAGCAAACAGG
Molecule: ribosomal RNA, 749 nt
Filed under: uncultured Parvimonas sp.
Lineage: Bacteria; Bacillati; Bacillota; Tissierellia; Tissierellales; Peptoniphilaceae
Description: bacterial SSU rRNA
Rfam family: Bacterial small subunit ribosomal RNA
Source: RNAcentral